This 334-nucleotide long non-coding RNA is filed under the name Phaseolus vulgaris (common bean). RNAcentral describes it as "long non-coding RNA (PVUL_LNC001048)". The record is from RNAcentral. Lineage: Eukaryota; Viridiplantae; Streptophyta; Magnoliopsida; Fabales; Fabaceae.
CCUUGGUUUUGUUAUGAUUUUUUUUGUCUUUUUAACAAAGAAUUAUGUUGUCUAUCUAUUCCUGAUGAAAUUGACAACAUAAGUAAAGCUAUCUGUUUGGAGAGGUAAUUCCUUAGUGAUACAGUUUCUAAAGUCACAGGCUCAAUCUUUGAAGGCCUGUUAUAAAUGAAGCAGUAUAGUUAUGAAACAUUAUAAAAUUCCAAACCUGCAAAAUUGUCUUUUGGUUGCAUGUUGAAUUGUGCGUGUAGAUGUUAUUGCAGAUAUAUCCAAGCCUGAUAGUGUUUUAGUAGCAACUGUUGCUACCACUAAAGAGCUUUUUAAUGCUGAGAAACCU